AACGCACCUUGCACUCCUUGGGCAACCUAUGGAGUAUGCCUGUUUGAGUGUCAUGUUAAUAUCAGUUCCCUCGGGUUUUUGUAAUGAAGACCUGCUUAGGUGAAUUGGAAUUGGAGGUUCAAUGCAGGUCCCCCCCCCCAAAGGGAAUCAGCUCCUCUUAAAUGCAUUAGCUGGAGGAUGAAAGCAAAAGUUGCUCUUUAGCCACUGUUCAUCUGCUUAUGGUGUAAUAAUUGUUCCAUCAUGGCUUUUGGAUGAAUUCAGAAAAGAGCUUCUUAUUGCAGUCUUGCUCUGCUUCUAAUUGUCAGUUGACUUAUUGACUCUUUGACCUCAAAUCAGGUAGGAUUACCCGCUGAACUUAA
Molecule: ribosomal RNA, 359 nt
Filed under: uncultured Coltricia
Lineage: Eukaryota; Fungi; Basidiomycota; Agaricomycetes; Hymenochaetales; Hymenochaetaceae
Description: eukaryotic LSU rRNA
Source: RNAcentral